UACAGAGGGGGCAAGCGUUGUUCGGAAUUACUGGGCGUAAAGGGCGCGUAGGCGGCCUGCUAAGUCGAACGUGAAAUCCCUGGGCUCAACCCAGGAACUGCGUCCGAUACUGGUUGGUUUGAAUCCGGGAGAGGGAUGUGGAAUUCCAGGUGUAGCGGUGAAAUGCGUAGAUAUCUGGAGGAACAUCAGUGGCGAAGGCGGCUUCCUGGACCAAUACUGACGAUCAGGUGCGAAAGCGUGGGGAGCAAACAGG
This 253-nucleotide ribosomal RNA is filed under the name uncultured bacterium. RNAcentral describes it as "partial 16S ribosomal RNA". It matches the Rfam family "Bacterial small subunit ribosomal RNA", at positions 524 to 776 of the family's 1533-position model. The record is from RNAcentral.